This is a non-coding RNA of Salvia hispanica, 2341 nucleotides long. NCBI's taxonomy places the organism in Eukaryota, Viridiplantae, Streptophyta, Magnoliopsida, Lamiales, Lamiaceae. The record is from RefSeq and is a predicted model, not a curated record.
CAUGCCAUUCACAACGUGCCCUAUUUUUCGUGGACGGAGGGAGUAUCACGUAGUGUGUCAGGUUCCUUCAGUAGAAGUGAAUGCCUUGAUGAAAACAUUCAAGAUGAAGCCUCUGUUGUUUCCGCUAGCAGGGUCAGUAACAUCUGUGUUCAACUGUCAAGGCCCGUUGGAUGAUCCUGUUUUUGUUGGAGUGCAUUGGUCUCGAGGAAAAUUAUUCAUAUAUCUGCUGAUACACCAAAAUCAGCUGCACACGAGGCAAUGUUGAAUAAUAAAGAGGCUGGUGCAGUGGCAGCCAUCGAUAAUGUUCCACUCUCCUACGUUUCUGCCAAUUUUACCUUUAACACUGAUAAUUGUGUUGCUAAUCUGUAUGGAAUCAGAGCUACACUUGUUGAUGGUGGUGAGAUUCGCGGAGCCGGGAAUGCGUGGAUCUGUCCUGAGGGUGAGGUUGAUGACACAGCAAUGGACGUUAACAUUUCUGGCAACUUGUGCUUUGACAAAAUUAUGCAUCGCUAUAUACCUGGUUACCUCCAAACUAUGCCAUUUAAGCUAGGGGAUCUGAAUGGAGAACAAAAGUCUCAGGCUCAUUGUUAAGUAUCUCUAUAGGUUGAUGGAAUCAGCUGUCUUGCCAGAUGGAAUGAUAGUGCCAGAGAUGUUUGCUCAUAGAUUUUGUUAACGGGAAAUGUCUUUAUGGGUGUAGGAGAUUUGAUAUCAAAUGGACUGCUCUGAAAGCUGAGGGGUCACUUUCUGAUGCUAUCUCACACGAUUACAUUUUUCUCUGUGGAAGGAAUUGAAUUGGAUCUACGAAUGCGCAAUUUUGAAUUUUUCAACUUGGUUUCUUCCUAUACCUUUGAUUCUCUGAGGCCCAUUCAUUUGAAAGCAACAGGAAAGGUCAACAAGUAUUAUGGCGACCAAGUUUCCCAAUCUAGUACAAACUCAGAAAUGAUACCAAAGGAAGAUGAAAAAAGCAUUUCUGGUGAUAUUUCAAUCUCAGCUCUAAAACUCAAUCAAUUGAUGCUGGCUCUUCAACUAGCUGGAGUGCUCAACAUAUCAUCUAAGGGUAUGAAGGACUUCCUGAAAAAUGUCACCAACUUAUGUUCUCUUCAAAAACCUAAACUGUGAAAAGUUUGAUUUGUGCUUUGCUUGAGAUAAUCCGACGAUGGAAUGAUGAGUCAGAUUCUCCAGUGAAACAACAUUGUUUAGCGGGUGAGGGGGGAAAUCCACAUCAAAGUAGAGUCCACCUAAGAAUCAAGAGAGCCGACUGCCAAGUCAUUGUUUUGUUGCUGGAUUAUGUCUAGCUGGACAUAAAUAAAACCUUUUCACAAAGUUGACAGGUUUUACAAGAGAAAAAAACAACCUGCGAACAUUUUCAAGAAACUGCUGAAAGUUGAGGACACAAAACAUGAUUAUCCCUAUUUCUUAUUAGUCAUCCUUGAAGACUUCAUAUUUCGGCCCUAGUUAUUCAUGCCUAAAAUGGGUGUAUCCCAGACAUUUGUCUUCUAGCUCAAAUAGCUGGAGGAUGUUUUUAGCUAAUAUCUGCUGGGGAGCCUUGAUCUGGAAUAUGGUUUCAUCUGUUGGAUGCUACUGGCCGACCAGAUGAAAGUCUUGCAGUUGAAGUUGUAGGACCUUUGCAAUCUACUUCUGAAGAAAAUCUUGCGGAAAAAGUGCUAUCUUUUUCUUUACAGAAAGGUCACCUGAAAGCUCAUGCCUGUUAUCGACCACUACAUUCAACUACCUUAGAGGUUCGCCAUUGGAUGAGCUGGAGCUAGCAUCACUUCGUGGAGCAAUUUCAAGAGCCGAGCUGCAGUUGAAUUUUCAAAAACUAAGGGGCCAUGGUGCAUUAUCUGUUCUUCGACCAAAUUCAGUGGUGUGUUGGGUGAAGCUUUAGAUGUAGCUGCCAGAUGGAGUGGGGAUGUGAUCACAGUUGAACAAGCAAUCUUGGAGCAAAGCAAUAGCAUAUAUGAACUGCAAGGGGAGUAUGUAUUGCCUGGUUCCCGGGAAAGUGAUGACUGGUCAUCUUGGGAGCAUGAUCUCUUCUAUGGGUAGAUGGAGAAUGAGAUUAGAGGUCCCUAAUGCUGAGAUUGCUGAGAUGCUUCCUCUUGCUAGGCUUCUUUCUCGUAGUUCAGAUCCCGCUGUUCAAUCUAGAUCAAAGGUUGUGGUUACGUUUAUGAUAUCUUGAAUGAUUAAUUUGUGUAAAUGUAAGGGUAUGUGGAUAGGUGAACUUUCAUAUUACUUUCACUGGUUGGUUUUGGAAUUGGCUCUGGAUUUAGGGGGUUCAGAUAAUUUAUCCAUCUUAGUAGUAAUUGUUUAUGGUUUCUAUAGAAAUUACCGACUCAUGCCCUUA